GAUGAACGCUGGCGGCGUGCCUAAUACAUGCAAGUCGAGCGAACAGACGAGGAGCUUGCUCCUCUGACGUUAGCGGCGGACGGGUGAGUAACACGUGGAUAACCUACCUAUAAGACUGGGAUAACUUCGGGAAACCGGAGCUAAUACCGGAUAAUAUAUUGAACCGCAUGGUUCAAUAGUGAAAGACGGUUUUGCUGUCACUUAUAGAUGGAUCCGCGCCGCAUUAGCUAGUUGGUAAGGUAACGGCUUAACAAGGCGACGAUGCGUAGCCGACCUGAGAGAGUGAUCGGCCACACUGAAACUGAAACACGGUCCAGACUCCUACGGGAGGCAGCAGUAGGGAAUCUUCCGCAAUGGGCGGAAGCCUGACGGAGCAACGCCACGUGAGUGAUGAAGGUCUUCGGAUCGUAAAACUCUGUUAUUAGGGAAGAACAAAUGUGUAAGUAACUAUGCACGUCUUGACGGUACCUAAUCAGAAAGCCACGGCUAACUACGUG
Molecule: ribosomal RNA, 497 nt
Filed under: uncultured bacterium
Lineage: Bacteria
Description: partial 16S ribosomal RNA
Rfam family: Bacterial small subunit ribosomal RNA
Source: RNAcentral